GACGAACGCUGGCGGCGUGCUUAACACAUGCAAGUCGAGCGGUAAGGCCCUUUCGGGGGUACACGAGCGGCGAACGGGUGAGUAACACGUGGGUGACCUGCCCUUAGCUCUGGGAUAAGCCUGGGAAACUGGGUCUAAUACCGGAUAUGACUCCAUGACGCAUGUUGUGGGGUGGAAAGCCUUGUGCGGCUAGGGAUGGGCCCGCGGCCUAUCAGCUUGUUGGUGGGGUGAUGGCCUACCAAGGCGACGACGGGUAGCCGGCCUGAGAGGGCGACCGGCCACACUGGGACUGAGACACGGCCCAGACUCCUACGGGAGGCAGCAGUGGGGAAUCUUGCGCAAUGGGCGAAAGCCUGACGCAGCGACGCCGCGUGUGGGAUGACGGCC
This 387-nucleotide ribosomal RNA is filed under the name uncultured bacterium. RNAcentral's name for it is "bacterial SSU rRNA". It matches the Rfam family "Bacterial small subunit ribosomal RNA", at positions 28 to 416 of the family's 1533-position model. The record is from RNAcentral.